RNAcentral lists this ribosomal RNA (239 nucleotides) under uncultured bacterium. RNAcentral describes it as "partial 16S ribosomal RNA". It matches the Rfam family "Bacterial small subunit ribosomal RNA", at positions 96 to 335 of the family's 1533-position model. The record is from RNAcentral.
UGGCGCACGGGUGCGUAACACGUAACUAACCUACCCAGCACUGGGGGAUAGCCCGCCGAAAGGCGGAUUAAUACCGCAUAAGACUAUAGAGCGGCAUCGCUUCGUAGUUAAAGAUUUAUUGGUGUUGGAUGGGGUUGCGGGUCAUUAGCUAGUUGGUUGGGUAACGGCUGACCAAGGCGACGAUGACUAGGGGAGCUGAGAGGCUGGUCCCCCACACGGGCACUGAGAUACGGGCCCGG